ACGGGGUGCGCAGGCGCGAAAACUUCACAAUGUGCGAAAGCGCGAUGAGGGAAUCCCAAGUGCUUGCACGUAAGUGUAAGCUGUUUUUAUGUUUAAAACGCAUGGAGAGUAAGAGCUGGGUAAGACGGGUGCCAGCCGCCGCGGUAAUACCUGCAGCUCAAGUGGUGGCCACUAUUAUUGGGCCUAAAACGUCCGUAGCCUGUUUAAUAAAUGCCUGGGUAAAUCGUGUAGCUUAACUAUACGAAUUCCGGGUAGACUGUUAAACUUGAGACCGGGAGAAGUUAGAGGUACUCCUGGGGUAGAGGUGAAAUUCUGUAAUCCUAGGGGGACCACCGGUGGCGAAGGCGUCUGACUAGAACGGGUCUGACGGUGAGGGACGAAGCCCUGGGGCGCAAACCGGAUUAGAUACCCGGGUAGUCCAGGGUGUAAACGCUGCUUGCUUGAUGUUAGUCGGGCUCCGAGCCCGAUUAGUGUCGGAGAGAAGUUGUUAAGCAAGCUGCCUGGAAGUACGUCGCAAGGC
This 520-nucleotide ribosomal RNA is filed under the name uncultured archaeon. RNAcentral's name for it is "bacterial SSU rRNA". It matches the Rfam family "Archaeal small subunit ribosomal RNA", at positions 325 to 849 of the family's 1478-position model. The record is from RNAcentral.